UGAAAUUGUUUCCUCCAACGCUUCCAUGC
This 29-nucleotide non-coding RNA is filed under the name Bombyx mori (domestic silkworm). The record is from RNAcentral. Lineage: Eukaryota; Metazoa; Arthropoda; Insecta; Lepidoptera; Bombycidae.